Molecule: ribosomal RNA, 460 nt
Filed under: uncultured bacterium
Lineage: Bacteria
Description: partial 16S ribosomal RNA
Rfam family: Bacterial small subunit ribosomal RNA
Source: RNAcentral
CCUACGGGAGGCUGCAGUGAGGAAUAUUGGUCAAUGGGAGAGAUCCUGAACCAGCCAAGCCGCGUGCGGGAAGACGGCCCUAUGGGUUGUAAACCUCUUUUGUCGGAGAACCAAACCCGGGAAGUGUCCCGGACUGCGUGUAUCCGACGAAAAAGCAUCGGCUAACUCCGUGCCAGCAGCCGCGGUAAUACGGAGGGCGCGAGCGUUAAUCGGAAUUACUGGGCGUAAAGCGCGCGUAGGCUGUUGUGUAAGUUGGGGGUGAAAUCCCACGGCUCAACCGUGGAACAGCCCUGGAUACUGCGCGACUUGAAGCCGGGAGAGGGUGGCGGAAGUCCAGGAGUAGGAGUGAAAUCCGUAGAUAUCUGGAGGAACAUCAGUGGCGAAGGCGGCCACCUGGACCGGUGUUGACGCUGAGGCGCGAAAGCGUGGGGAGCAAACAGGAUUAGAUACCCGGGUAGUC